Molecule: long non-coding RNA, 254 nt
Filed under: Mytilus galloprovincialis (Mediterranean mussel)
Lineage: Eukaryota; Metazoa; Mollusca; Bivalvia; Mytilida; Mytilidae
Source: RNAcentral
GCUUCGGCUUUAAAUUUCUCAGCAACGUAUGCUAAUGUUUACGAAUUCGUGGCAAUGGGUGCUAUUGUAUAAAAUAUGUCUUUCGAUGUAAAACAGUAUAAAAUAGUAGAUGUUUUGCCUAAUUACUAAGAUGUUGACGAAGUUUAUUGUAAAAAGGUGGUUCGGUGGACUUCAAAAAGUUUCGUUUAAAGGAAAAACUGUGCAAAAUGUUGAACCUGUUCUAUGCACCGUCAAGACAAAUAACUGAAAACUGA